Molecule: ribosomal RNA, 284 nt
Filed under: uncultured bacterium
Lineage: Bacteria
Description: partial 16S ribosomal RNA
Rfam family: Bacterial small subunit ribosomal RNA
Source: RNAcentral
CGGUAAGGAAGCGGGAGUGACUUAGCGGCGGACGGGUGAGUAACGCGUGGGGUAACCUGCCCCGUACCGGGGGAUAACGGUUAGAAAUGACCGCUAAUACCGCUUAAGCGCGCGAGGCCGCAUGGCCGCGCGCGAAAAACUCCGGUGGUAUGGGAUGGGCCCGCGUCUGAUUAGCUAGUUGGUGGGGUAACGGCCCACCAAGGCGACGAUCAGUAGCCGACCUGAGAGGGUGGCCGGCCACAUUGGGACUGAGACACGGCCCAAACUCCUACGGAAGGCAGCAG